Long non-coding RNA from Chinchilla lanigera (long-tailed chinchilla), 2282 nucleotides. RefSeq lists it as uncharacterized. The record is from RefSeq and is a predicted model, not a curated record. The transcript is spliced from 2 exons. Lineage: Eukaryota; Metazoa; Chordata; Mammalia; Rodentia; Chinchillidae.
GGAAAAUAGGGCGUUACGUCACUUACACGAUCAACCAGUCCUAAGAGGGAGAGGGCAGGAGUGAAGCGACGACGAAGGAGAGCGCGCGCGCCCUUUAAGCUGUGGGAAGCGGCGUACGGUGGCCGCCAUGCGAAGUGUGGCGCGUCGCACUCUGAGGGGAGGGAAGAGGAGAGGAAGGAAAGUAAGGAGGAGGCGGAGCUGGAACCGAGGGGGAAGGACUCCUGCGGUGCACGGGUGGCGUUGUGUAGCCUUAUAAUAGGAGACUGGGUCAUUGCUGUAUUGCCCAGGCUUCCUCAAACCUCUGGGCUCAGGUGAUCCUCUCUGCUCAGACAAUAGAAUCCCAAGUAGCUGGGACUACAGGUAUGUACCACCAUGCCCAGCUAAGCAUUCAUUUUGCACUGACACAUGUACAACCUCAUUCUCCUCUGAAGCUACCUUUGUAUUUAUCAAUGCUCCAUGUAGGUCAUACAUUUUGCCUUCAGAGAUCUUAUGGUCUAAAAGUUCAGCAAACGGACAAAUGCCUGAGAAGAAGGAAUUACAGAGGCUAUUUUCAAGAGCACUUUCACCACCAUUUUCACCUCCGUAAUUUCCUACAUAGACUUCUCUACCUUGAACACUUCCAUUCCUUCCCCUAUUGUACUCUCUUUAGUUGUCAUUUAAAGAAAUUGUCUUAGUCUGUUUGGGCUGCUACAGCAGAAUACCAGAGACUUGAUGUCUUAAACAACAUUUAUUCCUCACAGCUCUGGAGACUAGAACGUCCAGUCAAGGUGCCACAGGACUGGAUGUCUUGUGAGGGCCAUUUUCUGAUUCAUACACAACUAUUGCCUCACAGUGUCCUUAUAGGACAGAAAAAGGACAGAGAGUUUUCCAGGGUUUCUUUUAUAAAGUUGCUAAUACUAUUUGUGAUGCUUCCUCCGUCAUGACUUAAUCACUUCCCUAAGGCCCCAAGUCCUAGUACCAUCACAUUGGGGAUUAGAAAUUCCAUAUAUGAAUUUGAGGGGGUGGCAUAAAUAGUCUACUACAGAAGGUUUUAAGAAGAUCUCCCACCAGGUGCAGUGAUCAGCAUGCCUAUAAACCCAUCACUCUGGGAGGCUGAGGUAAGAGGAUCACAAGUUUGAGGCCAGACAGGGCAAUUUAGUAACCUAAAAAAACCCUGUAUCCAAAAAAAGAAAAAAAGGGGAGCGGGGUUCCUUUCUGCUCCCAGACCCAAUAGUGUAAGUUGCCUCGCCUGUUGUCCCCUUGUACAGCAUUCUUGCCCACCAUUUGUCAUUGUUAAUUGUCAAUCUUUAUGCACCACACAUCCAGCUAGAGCUCAAGUCUUGUAUCCCCAACACUUUAAGUGUUUGCUGUAUAGUAAGCAUGCAACAGAUAUUUGCCAAAUAAAUGGAUGAGAUUUUUGUGCUAGGAGAAGGAAGGUUCAGAGCAUUUUGGAGAAAAAGAACUUUACCCAAAAUAUGUUACAUAAAUUGAUACUUCAUAGUUAAACAUUAUUCUUGAAAAAGAUACCCAGAACAGAUCUUGUACAAAAACUAGGAAUAAUGGGAAAGAACAGGCUGGGCUUAGGAGCUGCAAAUUCAGAGUACAAGUUUUGAGCAAUUUAAAGGGGAUCUCUAAUUUGCAACCCAUAAGUAUGUCCAGGAAUCUACCACACAGAAAUUGUAAUAAAACUACAGCUUCUUUUCUGCCUUAAGAGGCACCAAGCUUCUUGAAGGAACACAGCAAUUUCACUUUAUUCUUAGUGGCAGACACUAUUAGUUGCCUAUCCAACAACACAAAACACACACACACAGAUCUUUUUCCAGGCACUGACUCCAUCUGAGGCAGUGGGAGGUGGAAGAAAUGUAUGAGAGGCGCUGAAAUAAAUUUUCUUCCUUAAAGAAAAUGUAUAGUUGGAGAAAAGUUGCUAUUUUUCUCCACUGGAUGUGACUAUGUAAGGAUAUGGUAUUUAUAGAUAAUACAGCUCUUGUGAGCAUUCAUAUAUAAUCCUGAAGAAAAAAGCCAACCAUUGAUAAUAGCUAACCAGAGAGAUAAAAGACAUCAUGAGCUACUGUCCAACCCUGGACUGCCUUGCUCUGGAUUUCAUUUUGGUAAAAGAAUAAGUGUCUUUAUAUUUAAUGAUGCCUUUAAAAUAGAAAUGUCUUUGUAUUUCUUUGUUACUGCCACAAUUGAAAGCAACUGACAUUCUCAUGUUUACGCCCCUUAAAGCCCUGCACAAUGCCUCGAACAUUAGACACUCCAUAUUGUAUGUGUAUAUAUAAUAAAGUAGUAGUUACCAAACUGAA